UACGUAGGGGGCGAGCGUUGUCCGGAAUUAUUGGGCGUAAAGGGCGCGUAGGCUGCGGGGCAAGUCGGGUGUGAAAUCUCAGAGCUCAACUCUGAAACUGCACUCGAUACUGCUUUGCUUGAGGACUGGAGAGGAGAUUGGAAUUCACGGUGUAGCAGUGAAAUGCGUAGAUAUCGUGAGGAAGACCAGUGGCGAAGGCGGAUCUCUGGACAGUUCCUGACGCUGAGGCGCGAAGGCCAGGGGAGCAAACGGG
This 253-nucleotide ribosomal RNA is filed under the name uncultured bacterium. RNAcentral describes it as "partial 16S ribosomal RNA". It matches the Rfam family "Bacterial small subunit ribosomal RNA", at positions 524 to 776 of the family's 1533-position model. The record is from RNAcentral.